RNAcentral lists this ribosomal RNA (460 nucleotides) under uncultured bacterium. Its description in RNAcentral is "partial 16S ribosomal RNA". It matches the Rfam family "Bacterial small subunit ribosomal RNA", at positions 338 to 795 of the family's 1533-position model. The record is from RNAcentral.
CCUACGGGAGGCAGCAGUGAGGAAUAUUGGUCAAUGGACGCAAGUCUGAACCAGCCAUGCCGCGUGCAGGAAGACGGCUCUAUGAGUUGUAAACUGCUUUUGUACGAGGGUAAACUCAGAUACGCGUAUCUGUCUGAAAGUAUCUUACGAAUAAGGAUCGGCUAACUCCGUGCCAGCAGCCGCGGUAAUACGGAGGAUUCAAGCGUUAUCCGGAUUUAUUGGGUUUAAAGGGUGCGUAGGCGGUCGGAUAAGUUAGGGGUGAAAUCCCGAGGCUCAACCUCGGAAUUGCCUCUGAUACUGUUAGGCUAGAGAGUAGUUGCGGUAGGCGGAAUGUAUGGUGUAGCGGUGAAAUGCUUAGAGAUCAUACAGAACACCGAUUGCGAAGGCAGCUUACCAAGCUACUUCUGACGUUGAGGCACGAAAGCGUGGGGAGCAAACAGGAUUAGAUACCCGAGUAGUC